RNAcentral lists this ribosomal RNA (258 nucleotides) under uncultured bacterium. RNAcentral's name for it is "partial 16S ribosomal RNA". The record is from RNAcentral.
CUGCUGCCUCCCGUAGGAGUUUGGGCCGUGUCUCAGUCCCAAUGUGGCCGGCCACCCUCUCAGGUCGGCUACUGAUCGUCGCCUUGGUGGGCCGUUACCUCACCAACCAGCUAAUCAGACGCGGGUCCAUCUCAUACCACCGGAGUUUUUCACACCGGACCAUGCGGUCCUGUGCGCUUAUGCGGUAUUAGCAGUCAUUUCUAACUGUUAUCCCCCUGUAUGAGGCAGGUUACCCACGCGUUACUCACCCGUCCGCCG